CAGUAGAGGAAGCUAAGGAUUACAAAAAGAAAGUGAGCUAGUCUCAAGAAGUAGAGGAAGCUAAAGCUAGCCGAUCUGCUAGGAAUCGUAAAGUAACUUCUGAGAUGCUAAUCAACAAGUAUUAGUGCAAACGAGAGGUUCGGGAAGCUAGGGCAGAUGAUAACUAGAGCAAGUUUGAGUCACAUUGGAACUGUCCUUUCUUCCAAUACUAUUGGAAUGAAAAGCUGAG
RNAcentral lists this long non-coding RNA (229 nucleotides) under Setaria viridis. Its description in RNAcentral is "long non-coding RNA (SVIR_LNC010594)". Lineage: Eukaryota; Viridiplantae; Streptophyta; Magnoliopsida; Poales; Poaceae. The record is from RNAcentral.